RNAcentral lists this transfer RNA (72 nucleotides) under Patescibacteria group bacterium. RNAcentral's name for it is "tRNA-Arg". It matches the Rfam family "tRNA". From Rfam's summary of the family: Transfer RNA (tRNA) molecules are approximately 80 nucleotides in length. Their secondary structure includes four short double-helical elements and three loops (D, anti-codon, and T loops). The record is from RNAcentral. RNAcentral also lists the same sequence under 1 other name.
GCGCCCGUAGUUCAACGGAUAGAACGGGAGCCUUCUAAGCUCUAGAUGAGGGUUCGACUCCCCCCGGGCGUA